RNAcentral lists this ribosomal RNA (141 nucleotides) under uncultured eukaryote. RNAcentral's name for it is "partial 18S ribosomal RNA". It matches the Rfam family "Eukaryotic small subunit ribosomal RNA", at positions 1299 to 1458 of the family's 1831-position model. The record is from RNAcentral.
UGGUGGGUUGCCUUGUCAGGUUGAUUCCGGUAACGAACGAGACCUCAGCCUGCUAAAUAGUCACUUUCGCUUUUUGCGGAUGGCAGACUUCUUAGAGGGACUAUUGGCGAUUCCAGUCAAUGGAAGUAUGAGGCAAUAACA